This is a long non-coding RNA of Orcinus orca (killer whale), 6266 nucleotides long. RefSeq lists it as uncharacterized. The transcript is spliced from 2 exons. The record is from RefSeq and is a predicted model, not a curated record. NCBI's taxonomy places the organism in Eukaryota, Metazoa, Chordata, Mammalia, Artiodactyla, Delphinidae.
UAUGACGUUCUUUGUUCUGACAGGACAUAAAGCUGUGCUGAAAACCAUGCUUCUCCAGAGCAGUUUGUCAGAAUAAUCUGGGAAGCUGGCUUCUGAGCUGUGGUCCUCCGUUUGGCUCAGAUGAAACUCUUUUCUAUGCCUCUGGUUGUUUAUUGGUUAUUUUUGUCGAUGUUACUUGGCAUAGUCAGCAGGAUAUCAGAAAAACGCACCUGAGGUCACCUGGAGUCUACUUUGGACCAGCACUUGGUACCAUUCAUGGUCCCUUGAGCCCCUGCAUCUUCACAGCACCCUUUAAGUGAUUUGCUGAUCGCAGUAACCUAUCCUUGGAUGAAGAUCAGAUGCCCCAUGACCUGCACCCGGGAGAUUAUGCAGACUGGAAAAUACAUCAUUUAAAGGACUCUUUCUCCAACUUAGAUGGUAGGACCCUUCUCAGAUACUCUUAAGUAACACAUGCACAAUAAAACUGACGGGAAUUGACUCAAAUUUAUACCUUCUACCUAAGAAGGGCCUCUGCACUGGACUUGGUCUCUAGAAAGGACUGCUGAUCAAAAACCCGUGACUACAUUCUAUCGACGGGUUAUCUUCUUGCUUCUAGUAACGACUUACAAGAAAUUCCCAUUGACAAUGCUGAUCUAACUUGGCUUACAGAUGGGUCCUACUUAAAAUAUGAACAAGGACAUAACUGAGCUGUAUAUGCAGUAACAUCCACAGUGGACGUAAUUGAAAGCUCUUAUUUACCAGAAAUUAACUCAGCACAAUCAGCCAAAUUAAUUGCCUUAACUUGAGCUUGUCAAGUAGCUAAAGACCAGAUAGCAAAUAUUUGUACUGAUGGUCGUUAUGCCUUUGGAGUGGCACACGACUCUGGGAUGUUAUGGCAACAAUGAGGUUUUUAACCUCUUCAAGACAGCCUAUAAAAAAUGGAAAGCAGGGCUUCCCUGAUUGUGCAGUGGUUGAGAGUCUGCCUGCCAAUGCAGGGGACACGGGUUCAAGCCCUGGUUUGGGAAGAUCCCACGUGCCGCGGAGCAACUAAGCCCGUGCACCACAGCUACUGAGCCUGCACGUCUGGAGCCUGUGCUCCGCAACAAGAGAAGGCCGCAACAGUGAGAGGCCCGCGCACCGCGAUGAUGAGUGGCCCCCGCUUGCCGCAACUAGAGAAAGCCCUCGCACAGAAACGAAGACCCAACACAGCCAAAAAUAAAUAAAUAAAUUAAAAAAAAAUGGAAAACAGAUUGCAGAGUUAUUAAAUGCUAUACAAUUACCAAAAGAGUUAGCAAUUAUUAAAACACCAGAACAUUCCAAAUCUAAGACUAUGGAUGGUAAAGGAAAUCAGCUUGCCGAUGAUGUCACAAAGCAAGCAGCUCUAAAUAAUCAUUCUGUCCAGUCUCGAGAAUGUCCACUGCUCUCUGUUAACCCUGCCAACUCAAUGAAGGAUUUCCUUCUACAGGCUCAAGAAAUUGCCGCUGAAGAAGAGAAACAGAUAUAGCAAUAAAAAGGGGGAAUUUUCAACCCCGUCACACAAAUAUGGCUUGGACCUGAUAAGAAACCUAUAGCACCUGCUGGAGCCCCGUUGUCAUUGCUCCAGCAUAUACAUUCUUUAACUCACUGGGCACCUGAGAAAAUGAUUCUAUGGGGAAAACAGUACGUUUGGAAACUUUCUCCCAUAAUGGUUCCUAAUGUAUAUGCUUGCUGUAAUAUAUGUCCUAAAUAUAAUCCUGGAAAGUCAUUUCGUGGGUCACAAGGCCACUUUCCCCUUCCCAAGGGACCCUUUGAGGCAAGGCAAUUGGAUUUUGUCCAGACGCCACCCUCUCAAGGAACUAAACAGAGCUUGGUAAUGAUCUGCGUGUUUUCACACUGGGUUGAAGCUUUUCCAUGCAGGAGAGCAAUGGCUUUAACAGUAGGUAAAUUGUUAUUAGAAAAGACAAUUCCUCUUUGGGGAAUUCCUCCUGAAUUACACAGUGACUGAGGAACUCAUUUUACUGGACAAACAAUUAAAUCUGUUUGUGACAUUUGACCAAUAAUGUGGCAUUUUCACCAUGCUUAUCAUCCCUAAUCUUCAGGAUUGGUAGAAAGGACUAAUGGUGCUAUCAAAGUGCAACUGGGAAAAUGUUCAGCAGCAUUUCAUCUCUCACGGCCAAAAGCUCUUCUUCUAGUGCUUCUCAACCUUAGAUCUAUGCCUUUUGGUAAACACUGGCUGGUCCUUUUGAAAUAACAGGAUGGCCCGUGUGCCUAGAUGAGGGAACUAUGCGCCGACCUCACUCCAAGGAGAUAUGCUGCCUUAGGGUGUUGUCAAACUCCUAUUGAACAUUAAGGAAAAUGAAAAAUCAGUAGCUGGCUUCUUUUACAGUGAGAUCCUGGGAGAUGAAGACCUUCAGGGUCAUGGGUUACAACCUGCAGAUUUUGUUUAUUGGAAAAGACAUAAAAGAUUCCUUGCAGCCACAUUAAAAAGGACCUUACCAGGUAUUAUUAACUAAUCCGUGUGCUACCGAAGUAGAAGGCACAGAUUCGGGGAUUCCCAUCUCUCAUUCUAAAAAGGCCUCUCUAAAAGGGAACCCUCCUGGGGACUUCCCUGGUGGUCCAGUUGUAAAGAAUCCACCUUCCAGCGCAGGGGACGAGGGUUCAAUCUCUGGUUGGGGAACUAAGAUCCCGCAUGCCUCAGGGCAACGAAGCCUGCGUGCCGCAAGUACAGAGCCCUCGCGCCCUGGAGCCCAUGCGCCACAACUAGAGAGAGAGGGGAAAAAAAAACCCACAAAAAACUGACACACCACAACUAGAGAGAAGCCUGUGUGCCAAAACGAAGAUCCCACUUGUCGCAACUAAGACUUGACACAGCCAAAAAGUAUAUUUAUAUAAUAAUACUAAUUAAUAAUAAUAAUAAAGGGAACCCUCCUACACUGUUGGUGGGAAUGUAAAUUGGUGCAGCCACUAUAGAAAACAGUAUGAAGGUUCCUUAAAAACCUGAAAACAGAGUUGUCAUAUGAUCCAGCAAUUCCACUCCUGGGUAUAUAUGCGGACAAAAUUCCAUUUCAAAAAGACACAUGCACCCCUAUGUUCAUAGCAGCACUAUUUACAAUAGCCAAGACAUGAAAGCAACCUGAAUAUCCAUGGACAGAUGAAUGGAUAAAGAAGAUGUGGUACAUAUAUAUAUGUACACUGGAAUGUUACUCAGCCAUAAGAAAUGAAAUAAUGCCAUUUGCAGCAACAUGGAUGGACCUAGAGAUUAUCAUAUUAAGUGAAGUAAGUCAGAAAGAGAAAGACAAAUAUCAUACGAUAUCACUUAUAUGUGGAAUCUAAAAUAUGACAAACGUGAACUUAUUUACAAAACAGAAGCAGACUCACAGGCAUGGAGAAGACUUGUGGUUGUCAAGGGAGAGGGGGAUGGGGGAGGGUUGGAUUGGGAGUUUGGGGUUAGCAGAUGCAAACAAUUAUAUAUAGGAUGAAUAAGCAACAAGGUCCUACUGUGUAGCACAGGGAACUAUAUUCAAUAUCCUGUAAUAAACCAUAAUGGAAAAGAGUAUGAAAAAUAAAAAAAUAUGUAUAUGUAUAACUGAAUCACUUUGCUGUACACCAGAAACUAAAACAACAUUGUAAAUCAACUAUACUUCAAUUUUAAAAAAAACGAAAUUUGUACUUACACACACACACAAAAGCCCUCUCCACCUGAAUGGACUUUGUCCCCUAUUUCUGACACUUGGCUUCAACUAACUGAUAUCAGAUGGCACCCUCACCAGGAUGAGAAGAAGAUGACAGCAGUGGUAGACAGCUGACCCAGAAUCAGGGCCAGACCUGUAAGACCCAUCCGACUAGUUUAAUUGAAAUGUUUACCAAAUAUUUGUCUCCCUAUCAAAACUGAAAGUUAUUGUUUUGCUUCUAGCUAUACUUUUGCCCCAGUAUUCAUGAUGGAAAGAAAAUUCUUUAGUAAAGUUUUCAUCACGUAUAUCUACUGGGAUAAUCCCCUCAUAAUAUCUAUCACUGACUUUUCAGAUGUUCCUAAUGUUACCACUCACCCAGACCAACCUCCCUCUGACCUAAUCUUUCAGGUUCAGAUUCCUCAACAUAUUAAUAUGUCCAUCCCUUUUCUGAUACUAUCCUCUGUUCUUAGAGACUGGACACAAUUUACCCCAGGAUGCCCUCAUUCUGUUCCUUAUUUAAUUGAAAAAUGUCUUUAAAAAAAGAGAAAAAUGUCUUAAAGAGAAAAAGGUGAGUAAAUUGUGCCAGCAGUGCCCUUAUAUCAAAUACUUAGUUGACUUUUGGAAAGCCUACAAGAGAAGGGAUCCAUAGUUUAAAGUUGUGUUGACAAAACUCCCAAAUCAUGAGGCUGUCAAUGAUAGCACUCUGGGAGGGACCACUUGUGCUCCCCCAGGUUUUGUCUUCAUAUGUGGUAUUGGAACUGACCUACCUUCCCAAGGAUGGGUUCAUAAAUGUCUUGAUAGCUGACAAAUAGAAGGUUUAUGUUUAUUAGGACAUUAUGUUACUUCAUUGUCUAUACAUCAGGAAAUAGAUGAAUCUCCUUUGUCUUUUCAUUACAGAAGCAAGAGAUCCAGGUUAGCAAGAUACCAAGAUAUCUGGUGGCACAAUCCUUUGGUUCCUAAUGCAGGAAUAUAUGUAAACAAAGAGAUGAUUAGAAAUCUAUCAGCUACCAUUCAUCAAAUAGCUGAAGAGACUGCAAAAAACACUGCAGCACAACAGACAUCCCUAAAUUCCUUAGCCAAAGUUGUGUUAGAUAACAGGGUUGCCUUAGAUGUUCUAUUGGCUAAACAAGGACGUGUUUCUGCUAUUGCUCAUACUACUUGUUGUAAUUAUAUCAAUACCACUGGAGAAGUUGAGACGUGCCUAGAAAUAACUUCCCCAAAGGCAAGGUGGUUACAAGAUGUAAGAAAAACUGACCCUUUAAGUGACCUGUUUAAUUGGCACACUUCAGGAAUAAGCUAUCUUUUCCACUCUGCUUUACAAAUGAUUAUUAUUUUCAUAAUAUAUGUUACCAUUCUUUUCCUAACUAUCAGCUACUAAUGACAUGUAUCACUGCUUGCUUUAAGUCUACUGCUAAAGGCACAUGUAGGGACUUCCCUGGUUGUUCAGUGGUUAAGACUUCACCUUCCAGUGCAGGGGGUGUUGGUUCGAUCCCUGGUCGGGGAGCUGAGAUCCCAUGUGCCUCAUGGCCAAAAAAACAAAAUAUAAAGCAGAAACAAUAUUGUAACAAAUUCAAUAAAGACUUUAAAAAGUCUUUUUUGGUCCACAUUAAAAAAUAUUAAAGAAAAAUAAAUAAAAACACAUGUACUAUGUUUGUGUGACAAUUCGAUAUGGUUGAUAAUAUGUAUAGCUUAUAAAAUUCUUCCCGUGUCAAUAUAUGGCUCUGUUUUUAUCCAUUACACUCAAUUACACUCCCCCGCAGUGAGAAUAACUAGGCAUCUCUAUUCCUGUAAAAAAAUAAAUAAAUAAAAAUAAAGGAAAGAGGUAGACCUAGGACCAAGGGACAUGAUAGACCCAGGGCAGGCAGCAACCACCCUGGCAUUGAGGGAAAAAAAAAUUUUUUUUUUUGCGGUACGCAGGCCUCUCACUGCUGUGGUCUCUCCCGUUGCGGAGCACAGGCUCUGGACGCGCAGGCUCAGCGGCCAUGGCUCACGGGUCCAGCCGCUCCGCAGCAUGUGGGAUCUUCCUGGACCGGGACACGAACCUGUGUCCCAUGCAUCAGCAGGUGGACUCUCAACCACUGCGCCACCAGGGAAGCCCAGGGACAAAUAUUUUGAUCAUCAGUGCUUUCUAUUGAAAGAUUUACAAUCAAAAUAGGAGAAAUGAUGAAAGAGAAUUUUACAUUUUGAGACACGGGGAAGUCAUUCUGGCUUAUACACGAGUUAACUUGAAUUUUAUGCUGACUAGAACAGCCUGUUUGUGGCCUAUCAAACAUACUUCUACAUCUGCUUUAGUUAUUAAAGAAAAGCGUGCAUUGACCAGAAGUAAAGAACGUCCAUGUUAAGAACAAAGAUUAACUGCCUCCCUUUCUGGAACACCAGUGCUUGUACUCUUUCAGUGAUAAGACUCCCUCCCCAGGUGCCAAGACCAUACUGACUCACUGGGUAUGUGCUGAUCUGUUUUUCUGAAACCUUGAAGGAAGAUAUCUUUGACUUGUUUGAUGUUAUUUGUUCUGACAACACAUAAAACUAUGCUGAAAACCAUGCUUCUCUGGAGCAGUUUCUCAGAGUAAUCUGGGAAACUGGCUUCCGGGCUAUAGUCCUCAGUUUGGCUCAAAUAAACCUCUUUUUUAAUACCUA